AUGAACGCUGGCGGCGUGCCUAAUACAUGCAAGUCGAGCGCACGGACGAGAAGCUUGCUUCUCUGAUGUUAGCGGCGGACGGGUGAGUAACACGUGGAUAACCUACCUAUAAGACUGGGAUAACUUCGGGAAACCGGAGCUAAUACCGGAUGAUAUUUUGAACCGCAUGGUUCAAAAGUGAAAGACGGUCUUGCUGUCACUUAUAGAUGGAUCCGCGCUGCAUUAGCUAGUUGGUAAGGUAACGGCUUACCAAGGCAACGAUGCAUAGCCGACCUGAGAGGGUGAUCGGCCACACUGGAACUGAGACACGGUCCAGACUCCUACGGGAGGCAGCAGUAGGGAAUCUUCCGCAAUGGGCGAAAGCCUGACGGAGCAACGCCGCGUGAGUGAUGAAGGUCUUCGGAUCGUAAAACUCUGUUAUUAGGGAAGAACAUAUGUGUAAGUAACUGUGCACAUCUUGACGGUACCUAAUCAGAAAGCCACGGCGAACUACGU
Molecule: ribosomal RNA, 495 nt
Filed under: uncultured bacterium
Lineage: Bacteria
Description: partial 16S ribosomal RNA
Rfam family: Bacterial small subunit ribosomal RNA
Source: RNAcentral